AUUGAACGCUGGCGGCAGGCCUCACACAUGCAAGUCGAGCGGAGCGGCGGACGGGUGAGUAAUGCCUAGGAAUCUGCAUGGUAGUGGGGGAUAACGUCCGGAAACGGGCGCUAAUACCGCAUACUAUCAGAUGAGCCUAGGUCGGAUAAGCUAGUUGGUGGGGUAAAGGCCUACCAAGGCGACGCUCCGUAACUGGUCUGAGAGGAUGAUCAGUCACACUGGAACUAGGACACGGUCCAGACUCCUACGGGAGGCAGCAGGGGGGAAUAUUGGACAAUGGGAGAAAGCCUGAUCAGGCCAUGCCGCGUGUGUGAAGAAGGUCUUCGGAUGUAAAAGCACUUUAAGUUGGGAGGCGUUACCAACAGAAUAAGCACCGGCUAACUACGUGCCAGCAGCCGCGGUAAUUC
RNAcentral lists this ribosomal RNA (407 nucleotides) under uncultured bacterium. RNAcentral describes it as "partial 16S ribosomal RNA". It matches the Rfam family "Bacterial small subunit ribosomal RNA", at positions 30 to 526 of the family's 1533-position model. The record is from RNAcentral.